Molecule: long non-coding RNA, 529 nt
Organism: Glycine soja
Lineage: Eukaryota; Viridiplantae; Streptophyta; Magnoliopsida; Fabales; Fabaceae
Exons: 2
Source: RefSeq, a predicted model, not a curated record
GGACACUAAUUGUUCAUACAGAAAUAUGGAUUUCCAUAGCAUAAACCAUCUCUCCCCAUUUGGUUUUAGAGUGUUUGCAAGAAGAGGCAGGGAGUGAUUUGCAGCCAAGAAUGACUUGCCGGAAUGCAUAUAUAUGCAUUAGGUACCAACAUAUAUAGUUGUAUUGUAUAAUUUCGGGCAAGUUGUUUUUGGCUACAUUUAUCUCUCUUCUUUUCUUGUAAAACUUCAUAAAUCCUUAUUUUUUUUUGGAGGACAUAUAUAUUCUUUAUGAUAAACAACAUCAAGAAAGGGGUAGAGUUGUUGAAGAAGCAUCCAUGUUUACCACUGAUAUUUAGAGAGCAAUAUUUAUUGUUUUCCUAAAUGUAUAGAAGAGCUCAUAAUCUCAGUGGAACAAUCAUAAGACAAUGCUUGAAAAGGUAUUGUCUAGCUAAUGUAGUAGAUGAUUCUUUGCAAUGAGUUGAUGUACUCCUUGUAUGACUUUAACAAUGGUUUCGUCCUCGCUAAUAAAUAAAAAAAGAAUAAUAGAAUA